AGCCCACUAGCUAGCUCUACAACCUAAAUACAACAACCCAAUUUAAAUAAACCCUAAUGGCCUACCAACCUUACUAACCAAACCAUUUUUCCACCCUAGUAUGGGCGACAGAAAAGGACAUAAGAAGCAACAGCACCUAGUACCGCAAGGGAACGCUGAAAGAGAAAUGAAACAAAUCAGUAAAGCGCAAAAAAGCAGAGAUUAACACUCGUACCUUUUGCAUCAUGAUUUAGCAAGAAAAGAUCAAGCGAAAAGAAUUUUAGUUUGACUCCCCGAAGCCAAGUGAGCUACUCCAAGACAGCCUUAAAGGGCGCACCCGUCUCUGUGGCAAAAGAGUGGGACGAGCUUUGAGUAGAGGUGACAGACCUACCGAACUUGGCUAUAGCUGGUUGUCCAAGAAAUGAACAGGAGUUCAGCCUAUAGCCUUCUCCCACCAUUCACCGGUUACCCCGAAAGUCUCCGAGAAGCCUACAGAGUUAGUCAAAGGGGGUACAGCUCCUUUGAAAUAGACACAACUUUAACAGAAGGGUUAAGAUCAUAACAACUGCUAGGGAACGUGUUCUAGUUGGCCUAAGAGCAGCCACCCACACAGAAAGCGUUAAAGCUCAAACACAUCCCUCCCCCUUUUAUCCGGACAUUUUAUUCUUAUCCCCCUACCCCUUACUGGACCUCUCCAUACCCCUAUGGAAGAGAUAAUGCUAAUAUGAGUAAUAAGAGACCAAGAAUCUCUCCCUGCACAAGUGUAUAUCGGAACGAACCCCCACCGACAAUUAACGGCCCCAACAAGAGGGUAUUGAAACAUUUUGGCUAAGCCACUAGUAAAGCAUCCACAUCUACACCGUUAACCUUACACUAGGGUGCACACAAGGAAAGACUAAAGGAAAGAGAAGGAACUCGGCA
This 900-nucleotide ribosomal RNA is filed under the name Rhabdamia spilota. Its description in RNAcentral is "partial 16S ribosomal RNA". The stretch from base 191 to 900 matches the Rfam family "Bacterial large subunit ribosomal RNA", at positions 566 to 1719 of the family's 2925-position model. Lineage: Eukaryota; Metazoa; Chordata; Actinopteri; Kurtiformes; Apogonidae. The record is from RNAcentral.